UGGCUCAGGACAAACGCUGGCGGGGUGCGUGAGACAUGCAAGUCGAACGGGGUUGCACGGGCUUGCUCGAGCAACCUAGUGGCGGACGGCUGAGUAACGCGUAGGUGACCUGCCCGGAAGUGGGGAAUAACUGCCCGAAAGGGUGGCUAAUACCGCAUGUGGCCGGCGAUGCAUUUCGCCGUCUAAAGCCGUAAGGCGCUUCCGGAGGGGCCUGCNUCCGAUUAGCUAGUUGGUGAGGUAACGGCUCACCAAGGCUUUGACGGGUAGCUGGUCUGAGAGGACGACCAGCCACACUGGGACUGAGACACGGCCCAGACACCUACGGGUGGCAGCAGUCGAGAAUUUUUCUCAAUGGGGGAAACCCUGAAGGAGCGACGCCGCGUGGAGGAUGAAGGUCUUCGGGUUGUAAACUCCUGUCAUUUGGGAACAAGUGUCGGUACGUAACUGCUACCGGCUUGAUAGUACCAGAAGAGGAAGAGACGGCUAACUCUGUGCCAGCAGCCGCGGUAAUACAGAGGUCUC
RNAcentral lists this ribosomal RNA (522 nucleotides) under uncultured bacterium. RNAcentral's name for it is "bacterial SSU rRNA". It matches the Rfam family "Bacterial small subunit ribosomal RNA", at positions 20 to 535 of the family's 1533-position model. The record is from RNAcentral.